RNAcentral lists this ribosomal RNA (301 nucleotides) under uncultured bacterium. Its description in RNAcentral is "partial 16S ribosomal RNA". It matches the Rfam family "Bacterial small subunit ribosomal RNA", at positions 509 to 807 of the family's 1533-position model. The record is from RNAcentral.
CAGUAGCCACGGGAAUACGAAGGGGGCUAGCGUUGCUCGGAAUGACUGGGCGUAAAGGGCGCGUAGGCGGCGGCCAAAGUCAGGCGUGAAAUUCCCGGGCUCAACCUGGGGGCUGCGUUUGAUACUUGGUUGCUUGAGUGGGGAAGAGGGUCGUGGAAUUCCCAGUGUAGAGGUGAAAUUCGUAGAUAUUGGGAAGAACACCGGUGGCGAAGGCGGCGACCUGGUCCUUUACUGACGCUGAGGCGCGAAAGCGUGGGGAGCAAACAGGAUUAGAUACCCCCGUAGUCCCUGUCUCUUAUAC